GGGGAUUUAGCUCAGUGAUUCCAGCACCUGCCUCACAAGCACAAGGUUCUGAGUUCGAACCCCAGUGCCCCCU
Molecule: transfer RNA, 73 nt
Filed under: Fukomys damarensis (Damara mole-rat)
Lineage: Eukaryota; Metazoa; Chordata; Mammalia; Rodentia; Bathyergidae
Rfam family: tRNA
About the family: Transfer RNA (tRNA) molecules are approximately 80 nucleotides in length. Their secondary structure includes four short double-helical elements and three loops (D, anti-codon, and T loops).
Source: Rfam by way of RNAcentral